RNAcentral lists this ribosomal RNA (885 nucleotides) under Heyndrickxia oleronia. RNAcentral's name for it is "bacterial SSU rRNA". It matches the Rfam family "Bacterial small subunit ribosomal RNA", at positions 46 to 916 of the family's 1533-position model. The record is from RNAcentral. Lineage: Bacteria; Bacillati; Bacillota; Bacilli; Caryophanales; Bacillaceae.
GCNAACUGCAGUCGAGCGAUCUGAUGGGAGCUUGCUCCCUGAUGAUUAGCGGCGGACGGGUGAGUAACACGUGGGUAACCUGCCUGUAAGACUGGGAUAACUCCGGGAAACCGGGGCUAAUACCGGAUAACUUUUUUCUUCGCAUGAAGGAGAAUUGAAAGAUGGCUUCGGCUAUCACUUACAGAUGGACCCGCGGCGCAUUAGCUAGUUGGUGAGGUAACGGCUCACCAAGGCGACGAUGCGUAGCCGACUUGAGAGGGUGAUCGGCCACACUGGGACUGAGACACGGCCCAGACUCCUACGGGAGGCAGCAGUAGGGAAUCUUCCGCAAUGGACGAAAGUCUGACGGAGCAACGCCGCGUGAGUGAUGAAGGUUUUCGGAUCGUAAAACUCUGUUGUUAGGGAAGAACAAGUAUCGUUCGAAUAGGGCGGUACCUUGACGGUACCUAACCAGAAAGCCACGGCUAACUACGUGCCAGCAGCCGCGGUAAUACGUAGGUGGCAAGCGUUGUCCGGAAUUAUUGGGCGUAAAGCGCGCGCAGGCGGUUUCUUAAGUCUGAUGUGAAAUCUUGCGGCUCAACCGCAAGCGGCCAUUGGAAACUGGGAGACUUGAGUGCAGAAGAGGAGAGUGGAAUUCCACGUGUAGCGGUGAAAUGCGUAGAGAUGUGGAGGAACACCAGUGGCGAAGGCGACUCUCUGGUCUGUAACUGACGCUGAGGCGCGAAAGCGUGGGGAGCGAACAGGAUUAGAUACCCUGGUAGUCCACGCCGUANACGAUGAGUGCUAAGUGUUAGAGGGUUUCCGCCCUUUAGUGCUGCAGCUAACGCAUUAAGCACUCCGCCUGGGGAGUACGGCCGCAAGGCUGAAACUCNAAGGAAUUGACGG